This 1732-nucleotide long non-coding RNA is filed under the name Helianthus annuus (common sunflower). RNAcentral describes it as "hypothetical non coding rna". The record is from RNAcentral. Lineage: Eukaryota; Viridiplantae; Streptophyta; Magnoliopsida; Asterales; Asteraceae.
UGUAACACCCCAAAACCCGAAUGGUUAUAAUUGCCAUGUGUUCUUAUACGACUUAGCAUGAAAUAAACAACUAGGUUAUUUAACCUAGUUAAGUAACGCCCCAAAAACUCGAACUACUAAAUUUGCUAGUGAGACCCCAUGUUUAAUAAAAUAGAAUGUAGUAACUAGGUUAUUAUACCUAGUCAAAAGUUUAGCAAAGCAAACAAGGGAACAAACUUGAGGGACCAUAUAUGAACAAGGGGGAAAGUUAUGUUUUAAUAAACAAAAUCAUAACACACAACACACAUACAUCAUGUGUGUGUGUGCGUGGAAUGCUCUGGAGAAGAACAAAGGGGUGUAAACCCUAGUUCUUAAAGAAGCUCCAAAUUGAAGGUUGAAUCGAGGCUCAAAUCUAUUAAGGAACAUGAAUUAGUGAUCACCUAGACAAGGGGAUCGUGAGGUAUGUCUUGAAACUUAGAUUGAUGAACUUGUAUGAAGUGGGUUAUGUUCCAAUCCGCGAAUUGGUAUGAAAUUGAUCAUUUAUAUGUGUUAGAUUCACCAUAUAGGACAUGGAUUAUGCAUGGUUUAGGUUAAUUUGAUGUUUAGGGGUGAAACCCGUUUGUUAUUGUGAGGAUGAUGACUUGAGUCACCACCUAUGUCCAAUUCUUGUUGAAAGAUUGAUGUAAUAUGCGGGUAUGAUGAAUUGUUGUUAGGUGAUUGAAUGAAAUGCGAUGAUAAUAUGUUUGAUGUUUAAUUUUAAAUACUACUUGUUGAUGAGUAGAAGGAUUUGAUGAACUAUGUAUGAAUUUAGAAGAUUAUGCAUGAAUUAGUUGUACGUUAUGCUUAAAAGGUGGUACGCACGCCAAGUGUAUGAUGAAAUGCUUAAGUGAAGUUAGGAUGCAAAAUGUUAUGAAAAAGCUUGGUGUAUAUAGGAAUGAAAUACGAAAAUGAUGGUAUGAUCAUGUUAAAUUACUAAUUUGAAUAUGGUUGUAAGCACAUUUGCAUCGAGAGUAGGUAAUGUAUAUGGUGCCUUUUUGUAUAGCCUACUUUGAUAUUACGAGUAGAUGAGAAUAAGUCGAAAGUUCACAUAAUGAAUUGUUGACUUCUGAAAGUCAACUAUGUAUAGGAAGCAUGAUAUGACUCGUUGCCAUAAAAAUAAGACUAUAGGAAGUCGUAAGUUACAUGUUAUGCCGAUACGUGAUAUUGGUGAUGGCAUGACGAAUUUCAUGAGUUUGAAAAAGAUAUGAAUUUGAUUAUAUGUCUUAUGCUUGUUGAUUGUGACUAAAGUAAGUCAAACGUGAAAUAUGAGAUUGAUAUGAUUGUUAACAUGUACAAACGAGUAUGCUAAUAAGAGUGUGAUUUCGACGAAAUGGAAGUAUAGGAAUCAAGUCGAAACGGGCUCAAGCACGAGGUGUUAACGGGCCAAGAGGAAGCAAGGGAUCAGAUAUGAACACGGAUGCAUGAGGAACGAGUACAUCGGAUUCUUACGAAAUUUAAGCCCAACCCGGAAUAAGAGGAUGAGCGAUACACGGACUUCUUCUGCUACUUAGGAAGUGAAGCGGACGUAGAUCGAGUCAAGAGCAAGGAUUGCAAGGAUAGAUCGAUCAUAUAGUUGAAAUAUAUAACGUCUAGAAAUGUAAAUUUUAGUAUGAAUGUUGUGAAUUCUUUUAUAGAACGUUUAACAUUUUAGCUUUUGGAACCUUCUCGAAAGUAAUGUCGUUAAUAAGGAAAGAAACUUUAAAGCUCUUUUCCG